RNAcentral lists this unclassified non-coding RNA (302 nucleotides) under uncultured Chaetomium. Its description in RNAcentral is "sequence contains ITS1". The stretch from base 1 to 105 matches the Rfam family "5.8S ribosomal RNA", at positions 50 to 154 of the family's 154-position model. Lineage: Eukaryota; Fungi; Ascomycota; Sordariomycetes; Sordariales; Chaetomiaceae. The record is from RNAcentral.
GAAAUGCGAUAAGUAAUGUGAAUUGCAGAAUUCAGUGAAUCAUCGAAUCUUUGAACGCACAUUGCGCCCGCCAGUAUUCUGGCGGGCAUGCCUGUUCGAGCGUCAUUUCAACCAUCAAGCCCCCGGGCUUGUGCUGGGGACCUGCGGCUGCCCGCAGGCCCCGAAAACCAGUGGCGGGCUCGCUGUCACUCCGAGCGUAGUAGAUUUAUCUCGCUCAGGGCGUGCUGUGGGUUCCGGCCGUAAAACACCCCCCUUACCUCAAGGUUGACCUCGGAUCAGGUAGGAAUACCCGCUGAACUUAA